CCUACGGGAGGCAGCAGUGAGGAAUAUUGGUCAAUGGGCGCGAGCCUGAACCAGCCAAGUAGCGUGAAGGAUGACUGCCCUAUGGGUUGUAAACUUCUUUUAUAAGGGAAUAAAGUGCAGUAUGUAUACCGCUUUGUAUGUACUAUAUGAAUAAGGAUCGGCUAACUCCGUGCCAGCAGCCGCGGUAAUACGGAGGAUCCGAGCGUUAUCCGGAUUUAUUGGGUUUAAAGGGAGCGUAGGUGGAUUGUUAAGUCAGUUGUGAAAGUUUGCGGCUCAACCGUAAAAUUGCAGUUGAUACUGGCAGUCUUGAGUACAGUAGAGGUAGGCGGAAUUCGUGGUGUAGCGGUGAAAUGCUUAGAUAUCACGAAGAACUCCGAUUGCGAAGGCAGCUUACUGGACUGCAACUGACACUGAGGCUCGAAAGUGUGGGUAUCAAACAGGAUUAGAUACCCUUGUAGUC
Molecule: ribosomal RNA, 460 nt
Filed under: uncultured bacterium
Lineage: Bacteria
Description: partial 16S ribosomal RNA
Rfam family: Bacterial small subunit ribosomal RNA
Source: RNAcentral